This 1367-nucleotide ribosomal RNA is filed under the name Clostridioides difficile. RNAcentral's name for it is "partial 23S ribosomal RNA". It matches the Rfam family "Bacterial large subunit ribosomal RNA", at positions 1 to 1381 of the family's 2925-position model. The record is from RNAcentral. Lineage: Bacteria; Bacillati; Bacillota; Clostridia; Peptostreptococcales; Peptostreptococcaceae.
GGUCAAGUUAUUAAGGGUGCAGGGCGGAUGCCUUGGCACUAGGAGCCGAUGAAGGACGUGAUAAGCUGCGAUAAGCUUCGGGGAGUUGCACGUAAACUUUGAUCCGAAGAUUUCCGAAUGAGGAAACUCACUUAGAGUAAUGUCUAAGUAUCAUUAAGUGAAUACAUAGCUUAAUGAGGGGAACUCAGGGAACUGAAACAUCUAAGUACCUGAAGGAAGAGAAAGAAAUUCGAUUCCGUAAGUAGCGGCGAGCGAACGCGGAUUAGCCCAAACCAAUAAAGUUUUCUUUAUUGGGGUUGCGGACAUAUCAUAACGAAGAGGUAUCGUAAUUGAAGAGGUUUGGAAAGACCCACCACAGAAGGUAAUAGUCCUGUAUGUUAAACGAGAAGACUUCAGAUAUGAUCCAGAGUACCACGGGACACGUGAAACCCUGUGGGAAGCAGGAGGGACCACCCUCCAAGGCUAAAUACUACCUAGUGACCGAUAGCGUAUAGUACCGUGAGGGAAAGGUGAAAAGAACCCCGGGAGGGGAGUGAAAUAGAACCUGAAACCCUGCACUUACAAGCUGUGGAAGCACAUUUCUUGUGUGACCGCGUACUUUUUGUAGAACGGGCCAACGAGUUACGUUAAGUAGCAAGGUUAAGCACUUAAGGUGUGGAGCCGUAGCGAAAGCGAGUUUUAACUGAGCGUUCAGUUACUUGACGUAGACCCGAAACCGGGCGACCUACCCAUGAGCAGGAUGAAGCGAAAGUAAAAUUUCGUGGAGGUCCGAACCCACGAGCGUUGAAAAGCUCGGGGAUGACUUGUGGGUAGCGGUGAAAUUCCAAUCGAGCCCGGAGAUAGCUGGUUCUCCCCGAAAUAGCUUUAGGGCUAGCCUCAAGGUGAGAGAUACGGAGGUAGAGCACUGAAUGUCCUAGGGGGUAUUGCACCUACCGAAGACUAUCAAACUCCGAAUGCCGUCAUCUUAUACUUGGGAGUCAGACUGUGGGUGAUAAGAUUCAUAGUCGAAAGGGCAACAGCCCAGAUCGUCAGCUAAGGUCCCUAAAUGUAAGUUAAGUGGUAAAGGAUGUGGGAUUGCACAGACAACCAGGAUGUUGGCUUAGAAGCAGCCACUCAUUCAAAGAGUGCGUAAUAGCUCACUGGUCGAGUGAUCCUGCGCCGAAGAUUUCCGGGGCUAAAACUUACUACCGAAGCUACGGCAUCAGUAAUGAUGGGUAGGGGAGCUUCCCAUACGGGUUGAAGCAUGACCGUAAGGACAUGUGGACAGUAUGGGAGUGAGAAUGUUGGCAUGAGUAGCGAGAUGUGGGUGAGAAUCCCACAGGCCGUAAACCCAAGGUUUCCAGGGGAAGGUUCGUCCGCCCUGGGUU